GUUCAUUCCUGAACAUGUACUGAAAUUGGAACAAUACAGAGAAGAUUAACAUGGCUCGUGCGCAAGAACGACACGCAAAUUCGUGAAGCGUUCCAAAAAUUU
Molecule: small nuclear RNA, 102 nt
Filed under: Nippostrongylus brasiliensis
Lineage: Eukaryota; Metazoa; Nematoda; Chromadorea; Rhabditida; Heligmosomidae
Source: RNAcentral